This 1258-nucleotide long non-coding RNA is filed under the name Pogona vitticeps (central bearded dragon). RNAcentral's name for it is "lncRNA (ENSPVIG00000006938.1)". Lineage: Eukaryota; Metazoa; Chordata; Lepidosauria; Squamata; Agamidae. The record is from RNAcentral.
AUGCUACCCAAAUUCAAUGGCGGCAGCAGGAGCUCUCUAUGGCAGUGGUCCCCAACCUUGGGACAGGAGAAUGCCAGAGUAUGCACACUCUUACACCACACAGUCCUACCCAAAAUGCAGGGCAGGAUGUUUCCUUCCCUUUCAAAAGGGGAGAACGGGCAACAGGGCUACCAAUUUACAUCAGCCAUUUGUUGCUGUCUGCAAUCUGAAGAAGAAAGUCAAAGGGACUGCAAAAUGAGUAAGACAGACCACGUGUAGCCUGCGAGUCUCAUGUAACCCACUCCCUCUGCAAUAAUGCAAGCACUCCCCAGCCUGAACAGGUUUAGGUUUUUGGUGGGAGGGCUGCCCCCAUCACUCUAGUCUGCCAGUUGUUCUGAUAAUAUGAAGAACAAAUUGCAGAGCCUUGUUCUCAGUGUAUACAUGGCAAAAAGAAGCUUUAUCUCAAUUUCUGUUUUAAAAAAAGGCAGUUCAAAGGCUAUCUUCUGGGAGGCAGCCAUAAGGCCGUCUUAACCAGGAGAUAACCAGGGAUCAGUGUUACGCUGGUAUAGGUCACAAGACUGCACCACCAGAGACCACAGUGUGAAGCAAAGCUGAUAAAGUAGACAUCGUGGAGGGAGGGGCCCCAAGUGGGGAUGCAGCUGCUCUGCAGUAUAGACUAGUCCCUUUAAAAAAAAAACAACCCCACUGACUCUCCCCUCCCCUGAACCCCAGUGUUUUCUGCUAUCUCAGAAACUACCGUAUCCACACCAGAGGCUUAGAGCAAUGUUUUCCUACUUCUUCACAUAAGAUACUGCAAGACCAAGGGGAAGGCCCCUCAAGUAUCUUCAAUACUGCAUCAACGUAUUGGGCCAUAUAAGUAGACAAAAGGGGGAGUCAUAGCUAGGAAGUAAGACUUCAAGGACCAGAGUCCUUGCCAGUGUCCUCAGCAAAACAUAGUAGAAGUACAUAAGAGAUGCUAAAGAAACAGCUGGCAACCUGGGUCCUGGUAAACUUAAGCAAUGUGUCCCAAACAGAAGUUUCAAGUGCAUGUAGGACUGUAAGCACAACACAGGACUAUCAAACAGGGCCACAAGCUGAACAGAGGCAGGCAGAGAUGGCUUCAACUAAACGCUAACUUCCACAAGAAAAUUAAAACCUUAAAACUAAAGAUUCAUUCUGGAACCCUUUAAAAAAAGGCACUCACUAGUGUUUCUGCCACCUCUGUAGCAACGUUCCUGUGCUGUUGUUCCACAAAUGUAUUUAUAAUGAGUGAAAAGUA